RNAcentral lists this ribosomal RNA (479 nucleotides) under uncultured bacterium. Its description in RNAcentral is "partial 16S ribosomal RNA". It matches the Rfam family "Bacterial small subunit ribosomal RNA", at positions 28 to 523 of the family's 1533-position model. The record is from RNAcentral.
GACGAACGCUGGCGGCGUGCUUAACACAUGCAAGUCGAACGAUGAACCCGGAGCUUGCUCCGGUGGAUUAGUGGCGAACGGGUGAGUAACACGUGAGUAACCUGCCCUUGACUCUGGGAUAACUGCGGGAAACUGUAGCUAAUACCGGAUACGACCCUCGGCGGCAUCGCCAGGGGGUGGAAAGAAUUUCGGUCAAGGAUGGACUCGCGGCCUAUCAGCUAGUUGGUGAGGUAACGGCUCACCAAGGCGACGACGGGUAGCCGGCCUGGGAGGGUGAGCGGCCACGCUGGGGGGGAGACACGGCCCAGCCUCCGGCGGGGGGGAGCAGGGGGGAAUAGUGCGCAAGGGGAGAAAGCCUGACGCACCCAGGCGGCGGAAUGGAGGAAGGUCUUAGAAUUGUAAAUUUCUUACACGGGGGACGAUAAUGACGGAACCCGGAGAAGAAGCCCCGGCUAACUUCGUGCCAGCCGCCGCCGUAA